GGCGACGGUGUAAAAAUCUCGCC
Molecule: unclassified non-coding RNA, 23 nt
Filed under: Human immunodeficiency virus type 1 (MAL ISOLATE)
Lineage: Riboviria; Pararnavirae; Artverviricota; Revtraviricetes; Ortervirales; Retroviridae
Description: RNA (5'-R(P*GP*GP*CP*GP*AP*CP*GP*GP*UP*GP*UP*AP*AP*AP*AP*AP*UP*CP*UP*CP*GP*CP* C... from Human immunodeficiency virus type 1 (MAL ISOLATE) (PDB 1BVJ, chain A)
Source: RNAcentral